RNAcentral lists this non-coding RNA (43 nucleotides) under Trypanosoma brucei brucei. Lineage: Eukaryota; Euglenozoa; Kinetoplastea; Trypanosomatida; Trypanosomatidae. The record is from RNAcentral.
AACGUACAUACUGUCUUCUCGAUUGACAUAUAAGAUGAUAAUU